This is a small nucleolar RNA of Ipomoea nil (Japanese morning glory), 107 nucleotides long. It matches the Rfam family "Plant small nucleolar RNA R71". Rfam says of the family: R71 is a member of the C/D box family of snoRNAs containing the C (UGAUGA) and D (CUGA) box motifs. Multiple nearly identical copies of this snoRNA have been identified in Arabidopsis, and it is thought to function as a 2'-O-ribose methylation guide for 18S ribosomal RNA. NCBI's taxonomy places the organism in Eukaryota, Viridiplantae, Streptophyta, Magnoliopsida, Solanales, Convolvulaceae. The record is from Rfam.
AUUUGAUGGUGUGGGCAACUUGCACAAAGCAUUUUGAAACGCUCCCAAUAUUCAUAUAAAGACUCUCCAUUGUUUUGCCUAAUACCACAGAUUUCCUUUCUAAUGUU